UGAAUACGAGAUGCUACGGCGUCGAAGCAGUGUAUGUCAGACUUCCAAGAAAAGCUCGCAAUGUCAUAAAUAAAGAAUGCCUGUACCAUAACCGACACAGGUGGGUAGGUAGAGUAUACUAAGGGGCGCGAGAUAACUCUCUCUAAGGAACUCGGCAAAAUAACUCCGUAACUUCGGGAGAAGGAGUGCCUUCUUUAAGAAGGUUGCAAUAACAAGAUCCAAGCAACUGUUUAUCAAAAACACAGGUCUCCGCUAAGUCGUAAGACGAUGUAUGGGGGCUGACGCCUGCCCAGUGCCAGAAGGUUAAAGAAGCUGGUUAGCAAUAGCGAAGCUGGUGACUGAAGCCCUGGUGAACGGCGGCCGUAACAAUAACGGUCCUAAGGUAGCGAAAUUCCUUGUCGGGUAAGUUCCGACCCGCACGAAAGGCGUGAUGAUUUGGAUACUGUCUCGGAGAGGGACUCGGUGAAAUAGACUUGUCUGUGAAGAUGCGGACUACCUGCACCAGGACAGAAAGACCCUAUGAAGCUUUACUGUAACCUGAAAUUGAAAUUGGACUUUAUUUGCGCAGUAUAGGUGGGAGGCGUUGAAAGUAAUCUUGCGGGAUUAGUGGAGCCAUCAGUGAGAUACCACUCCUAUAAUGUUAGAUUUCUAACUUUGGAUCAUGAUCUGGUCAGAGAACAGUUUCAGGCGGGCAGUUUGACUGGGGCGGUCGCCUCCCAAAUGGUAACGGAGGCGUACAAAGGUUUCCUCUGAACGGGUAGAAAUCGUAUCUAGAGUGUAAAGGCAUAAGGAAGCUUGACUGUGAGACCUACAAGUCGAGCAGGGACGAAAGUCGGUCUUAGUGAUCUGACGGUGCUGAGUGGAAAGGCCGUCACUCAACGGAUAAAAGUUACUCUAAGGAUAACAGGCUGAUCUCCCCCAAGAGUUCACAUCGACGGGGAGGUUUGGCACCUCGAUGUCGACUCAUCGCAUCCUGGGGCGGUAGUACGUCCCAAGGGUUGGGCUGUUCGCCCAUGAAAGCGGUACGCGAGCUGGGUUCAGAACGUCGUGAGACAGUUCGGUCCAUAUCCGGUGUAGGCGUUAGAAUAUUGAGAGGAGCCUUCUCUAGUACGAGAGGACCGAGAAGGACAUACCUCUGGUGUACCAGUUAUCGUGCCAACGGUAAACGCUGGGUAGCUAUGUAUGGAGAGGAUAACCGCUGAAAGCAUCUAAGUGGGAAGCCCACCUCAAGAUGAGUAUUCUCAC
Molecule: ribosomal RNA, 1245 nt
Filed under: metagenome
Description: bacterial LSU rRNA
Rfam family: Bacterial large subunit ribosomal RNA
Source: RNAcentral